Triticum urartu is the source of this 115-nucleotide non-coding RNA. NCBI's taxonomy places the organism in Eukaryota, Viridiplantae, Streptophyta, Magnoliopsida, Poales, Poaceae. The record is from Rfam.
GAUCUACUCCCUCCGUUCCAAAUUACUCAUUGCGAAAGUGGAUGUAUAUAGAACUAAAAUACAUCUAGAUACAUUCAUACUUGAGACAAGUAAUUCGGAACGGAGGGAGUAUUGA